AACGAACGCUGGCGGCAGGCUUAACACAUGCAAGUCGAACGCCCCGCAAGGGGAGUGGCGCACGGGUGAGUAACGCGUGGGAACCUACCUAUCGGUACGGAAUAACACAGGGAAACUUGUGCUAAUACCGUAUGAGCUCUACGGAGGAAAGAUUUAUCGCCGAAAGAUGGGCCGGCGUCCGAUUAGCUAGUUGGUGAGGUAACGGCUCACCAAGGCUUCGAUCGGUAGCUGGUCUGAGAGGAUGAUCAGCCACACUGGGACUGAGACACGGCCCAGACUCCUACGGGAGGCAGCAGUGGGGAAUAUUGGACAAUGGGCGCAAGCCUGAUCCAGCCAUGCCGCGUGAGUGAUGAAGGCCUUAGGGUUGUAAAGCUCUUUCGUCGGGGAAGAUAAUGACGGUACCCGAAGAAGAAGCCUCGGCUAACUCCGUGCCAGCCGCCGCCGUAA
This 447-nucleotide ribosomal RNA is filed under the name uncultured bacterium. Its description in RNAcentral is "partial 16S ribosomal RNA". It matches the Rfam family "Bacterial small subunit ribosomal RNA", at positions 29 to 523 of the family's 1533-position model. The record is from RNAcentral.